ACACAUGAUGAGGGCACUUUCAUAAUAACUCUUUGUACCUUUCCCAUGCCAAAUACAAGGACUCAUCAUCCAUUUGUUAGAAGGCAGUGAUCUUGUUCCUUAACUU
RNAcentral lists this small nucleolar RNA (106 nucleotides) under Gossypium hirsutum (cotton). RNAcentral's name for it is "Plant small nucleolar RNA R71". It matches the Rfam family "Plant small nucleolar RNA R71". Rfam says of the family: R71 is a member of the C/D box family of snoRNAs containing the C (UGAUGA) and D (CUGA) box motifs. Multiple nearly identical copies of this snoRNA have been identified in Arabidopsis, and it is thought to function as a 2'-O-ribose methylation guide for 18S ribosomal RNA. Lineage: Eukaryota; Viridiplantae; Streptophyta; Magnoliopsida; Malvales; Malvaceae. The record is from Rfam by way of RNAcentral.